Molecule: ribosomal RNA, 468 nt
Filed under: uncultured bacterium
Lineage: Bacteria
Description: partial 16S ribosomal RNA
Rfam family: Bacterial small subunit ribosomal RNA
Source: RNAcentral
GACGAACGCUGGCGGCGUGCUUAACACAUGCAAGUCGAACGGAAAGGCCCUGCUUUUGUGGGGUGCUCGAGUGGCGAACGGGUGAGUAACACGUGAGUAACCUGCCCUUGACUUUGGGAUAACUUCAGGCAACUGGGGCUAAUACCGGAUAGGAGCUCCUGCUGCAUGGUGGGGGUUGGACAGUUUCGGCGGUUGGGGAUGGACUCGCGGCUUAUCAGCUUGUUGGUGGGGUAGUGGCUUACCAAGGCUUUGACGGGUAGCCGGCCUGAGAGGGUGACCGGCCACAUUGGGACUGAGAUACGGCCCAGACUCCUACGGGAGGCAGCAGUGGGGAAUAUUGCACAAUGGGCGGAAGCCUGAUGCAGCAACGCCGCGUGCGGGAUGACGGCCUUCGGGUUGUAAACCGCUUUCGCCUGUGACGAAGCGUGAGUGACGGUAAUGGGUAAAGAAGCACCGGCUAACUACGUG